RNAcentral lists this ribosomal RNA (371 nucleotides) under uncultured organism. RNAcentral's name for it is "bacterial SSU rRNA". It matches the Rfam family "Bacterial small subunit ribosomal RNA", at positions 526 to 896 of the family's 1533-position model. The record is from RNAcentral.
CAGAGGGUGCGAGCGUUAAUCGGAAUUACUGGGCGUAAAGCGUGCGUAGACGGUUAUUUAAGUCGGGUGUGAAAGCCCCGGGCUCAACCUGGGAAUUGCAUUCGAGACUGAAUAGCUAGGGUACGGUAGAGGGAAGCGGAAUUUCCGGUGUAGCGGUGAAAUGCGUAGAUAUCGGAAGGAACAUCAGUGGCGAAAGCGGCUUCCUGGACCAGUACCGACGUUCAGGCACGAAAGCGUGGGGAGCAAACAGGAUUAGAUACCCUGGUAGUCCACGCCAUAAACGAUGAGGACUAGACGUUGGAGGGGUAAGCCUUUCAGUGUCGUAGCUAACGCGCUAAGUCCUCCGCCUGGGGAGUACGGCCGCAAGGUUA